RNAcentral lists this small RNA (828 nucleotides) under Arabidopsis thaliana (thale cress). RNAcentral describes it as "ATSL298710". The record is from RNAcentral. Lineage: Eukaryota; Viridiplantae; Streptophyta; Magnoliopsida; Brassicales; Brassicaceae.
GUGAAAAAAAGAUUUAAAAGCUGUUUUUGUCUUUUAUAUAUCCAUAUUGUUUGAAAGCACUCGAAAUCCUUUACUAACGUGUUGGUACUGUGUAAUAGCUUUUAAACAUUCUGUUCACAAAUUGACAAAAUCAAAAGCAGUCCACAUCUCAUAUACUCAGAUUGGAGGACUAACACUUGAAAGUGGUCCAUUGAUCAUAUAGACACUCUCCCAGUGCAACAACGAUGGACUGACUUCCGUAUUGUUUUCUCAUCAUUACGAUUAUUGUUUUCUCAUCAUUACGACAGAAACUUGAAUCAAACUAAUAAACUAAAAUCAUUAAAAAGUUUUCACCUUUUCACCGUCCACCGGAGCGUUUCCUCCUCCUUAUUCAGCAAGUUUGUUCACCGGAGCCUUUCCUCCUCUCUUUUCAGCAAGUUUGUUCACCGGAACGUUUUUUAGGAGAUCUUUUGUUCUUGUUUCUCUGGAAUGUAGUCCAGCAAGAACAGUAAUGUGCUACGUCAUAGCUUGGAGUUUCUUCUUCUCCUUUUUUUGUAGAGCUUCUCUGGCUGCGUCAGCUUUUUCUGUCGUUUUGAGAGGACUUGUUGACGGCGGCACCGGUCCCGAAAAUUGCACCAAGAAGGUUAAACUUAACUACGUGAAAAAGUACAGAGAGAAACUUUUUCGUUGGUUUAAACAUGGUCGGAAAAUUGAGCGAGAAACAGAGAGAAAGAGAAGUGAGUGAGAGAUUAAGAUCAUCCUCAAUAGAGAGUUAUAAAUCAAGACUCUUAACAAUCUUUAAUGAAUAAAUUUUGAAAUUUUUGCAAAUUUACUUUAGUUGCUUUAGAA